Molecule: ribosomal RNA, 253 nt
Filed under: uncultured bacterium
Lineage: Bacteria
Description: partial 16S ribosomal RNA
Rfam family: Bacterial small subunit ribosomal RNA
Source: RNAcentral
UACGGGGGGGGCAAGCGUUGUUCGGAAUUACUGGGCGUAAAGGGUGCGUAGGCGGCUGUGCAAGUCUGGCGUGAAAGCCCCGGGCUCAGCCCGGGAAGUGCGCUCGAAACUGCACGGCUCGAGUGCCGGAGGGGAGAGUGGAAUUCCUGGUGUAGCGGUGAAAUGCGUAGAUAUCAGGAGGAAUACCGGUGGCGAAAGCGACUCUCUGGACGGCAACUGACGCUGAGGCACGAAAGCGUGGGGAGCAAACAGG